UACAGAGGGUGCGAGCGUUAAUCGGAAUUACUGGGCGUAAAGCGUGCGUAGACGGUAAUGUAAGUCGGGUGUGAAAGCCCCGGGCUCAACCUGGGAAUUGCAUUCGAGACUGCGUAGCUGGGGUGCGGAAGAGGGAAGCGGAAUUUCCGGUGUAGCGGUGAAAUGCGUAGAUAUCGGAAGGAACAUCAGUGGCGAAAGCGGCUUCCUGGUCCAGCACCGACGUUCAGGCACGAAAGCGUGGGGAGCAAACAGG
This 253-nucleotide ribosomal RNA is filed under the name uncultured bacterium. Its description in RNAcentral is "partial 16S ribosomal RNA". It matches the Rfam family "Bacterial small subunit ribosomal RNA", at positions 524 to 776 of the family's 1533-position model. The record is from RNAcentral.